GAAGACAGCCCAGCUGCCGGGGAGUCCACCGCCGCCACCUGCUGCCGCACCGGAGCAAUUUUCGACCACAAAACGAGGUUGACCGAAGCAAAACACCCAACCACAACGUGAGUCAGAGGAGCCGCCGCACCGGAGAGCCCCACCGCCGGUGAGUUUCGAUUUUUUACGUUUUUUUGACCCACCGAGGGCCCUAAGAGUGUUUUCUCGCAGGAAUCGAUGCAAGUUUGGUUGAAUUCAGCCAAAAACGGCCGAAAAUAGCCAACCUGAGGUGGGUCACCGCCGCCAUCACUGGAGCACGGUGGAGCCCCC
This 309-nucleotide long non-coding RNA is filed under the name Carica papaya (papaya). Its description in RNAcentral is "long non-coding RNA (CPAP_LNC004635)". The record is from RNAcentral. Lineage: Eukaryota; Viridiplantae; Streptophyta; Magnoliopsida; Brassicales; Caricaceae.